AGAAUCAACGCUGGCGGCGUGCCUAACACAUGCAAGUCGCACGAGAAAGCGGGAGCAAUCCUGUGAGUAAAGUGGCGUACGGGUGAGUAACACGUGAAUCAUCUACCUUCGAGUGCGGAAUAACUGAGAGAAAUCUUAGCUAAUACCGCAUAAUACCCACGGUCAAAGCAGCAAUGCGCUUGAAGAGGAGUUCGCGGCAGAUUAGUUAGUUGGCGGGGUAAUGGCCCACCAAGACGAUGAUCUGUA
RNAcentral lists this ribosomal RNA (246 nucleotides) under uncultured bacterium. RNAcentral's name for it is "partial small subunit ribosomal RNA". It matches the Rfam family "Bacterial small subunit ribosomal RNA", at positions 26 to 285 of the family's 1533-position model. The record is from RNAcentral.